CAAGAUGUGGCGUAGCUUGGUAGCGCAUCUGUUUUGGGAACAGAAGGUCAUAGGUUCAAAUCCUAUCAUCUUGA
RNAcentral lists this transfer RNA (74 nucleotides) under Rickettsiales bacterium. RNAcentral's name for it is "tRNA-Pro". It matches the Rfam family "tRNA". From Rfam's summary of the family: Transfer RNA (tRNA) molecules are approximately 80 nucleotides in length. Their secondary structure includes four short double-helical elements and three loops (D, anti-codon, and T loops). The record is from RNAcentral. Lineage: Bacteria; Pseudomonadati; Pseudomonadota; Alphaproteobacteria; Rickettsiales.